CUCACAUGAUGAACAGACCUGAAG
Molecule: microRNA, 24 nt
Filed under: Callithrix jacchus (white-tufted-ear marmoset)
Lineage: Eukaryota; Metazoa; Chordata; Mammalia; Primates; Cebidae
Description: cja-miR-9943
Source: miRBase by way of RNAcentral